CCUACGGGAGGCAGCAGUGAGGAAUAUUGGUCAAUGGGCUUACGCCUGAACCAGCCAAGUCGCGUGAGGGAAGACUGCCCUAUGGGUUGUAAACCUCUUUUGUCAGGGAGCAAUUGGCGCUACGUGUAGCGUUAUCGAGAGUACCUGAAGAAAAAGCAUCGGCUAACUCCGUGCCAGCAGCCGCGGUAAUACGGGGUAUGCGAGCGUUAUCCGGAUUUAUUGGGUUUAAAGGUUGCGUAGGCGGAAUGCCAAGUCAGCGGUAAAAUCGCGGGGCUCAACCUCGCUCCGCCGUUGAAACUGGCGUGCUUGAGUGGGCGAGAAGUAUGCGGAAUGCGUGGUGUAGCGGUGAAAUGCAUAGAUAUCACGAAGAACUCCGAUUGCGAAGGCAGCAUACCGGCGCCCAACUGACGCUGAAGCACGAAAGCGUGGGUAUCGAACAGGAUUAGAUACCCCUGUAGUC
RNAcentral lists this ribosomal RNA (460 nucleotides) under uncultured bacterium. RNAcentral describes it as "partial 16S ribosomal RNA". It matches the Rfam family "Bacterial small subunit ribosomal RNA", at positions 338 to 795 of the family's 1533-position model. The record is from RNAcentral.